GAGAGCAAAGACAGCUUGACGUAUGGUCAGGCGAUGCUGAGCUCCAGCUUUUUCGAAGGCUCGUUUCUCCGUCUUUCUGGUUUUUAGAAAUUCAACAUGAGGGGAGGCGAUAAUGAAAAAAAAUUGGAAAUCGGUAGUAGAGGAAGAACAAAUGAAGAUGGGCAAAAAUGUUUUAAAAAAUUAAAAAGGGGGGGUGCAGGAGAGGCGCAGCCCUUCGGGGACGAGGACAGACGGUCGGGCGGCAAGGGGAGGAGCCGAGGAGUAGCCUCCCGGGAGAGUCCUGUUUACACUUGAGGAUCCCAAACCGCUUAGCAGAGGAAAGGGUCAUUCUGGGGAUCAAAUCCAGGGCUUUAUGCAUGCCAGCCACACGCCUCACCACUUCGCUGUUAGUCCAGCCUGCAGCCUGCCUCUCUGCCCACAGCCAACCCCUGCAAUUUGUAAUUAGAAUGUCAGAGCCAGGGAGCUCCAGCUGCUGUUUGCGUUCGUUCCUACAGGUGGCUGCUGUGCACUUAACCUCAGGUGUGUUUACAACUUUCACACAUGACACAGCCCAUGGCUGAUUCAGGGGACCAGCAAGGGGAAACUAAGCGGCUAGUGAAACACGCACUUGACCUAGCAAGUUAAAGACUUACAAGAGGAUAACGAGGAAGCGUCAGUGUGUGGUCGAUGGACCUUCCAGGUGACUUUUAUAGGCUCUCUGCUCCAGUCUCUCUCAACUGCUCCAUCAUGGAGGCCUGCUGAAAGUCCCACCCACCAACCACAUAGCUGGAACCCUGGAGGCUCCCAGGUCUAGCACAGGAAACACUCAAACAGAAGCCGACUGAAAUCAUCCUGUGUUUCCUCUCUUGGUUGAUGGCACUUUCCUCUGUGCAAAAUUAGACCUCGUUUUUUUCUUCCUUUCCCUACUCCCUUGAGCUUGCAUUUGGUCCCCACCCCCCUGACUUGCAUGUGCUCAGAGGCUCACGAUUAAGUGAUAUGAAGCUCNGCCAGCUCACAAUUGUC
This 1002-nucleotide long non-coding RNA is filed under the name Mus caroli (Ryukyu mouse). RNAcentral's name for it is "lncRNA (MGP_CAROLIEiJ_G0003931.1)". The record is from RNAcentral. Lineage: Eukaryota; Metazoa; Chordata; Mammalia; Rodentia; Muridae.